Molecule: long non-coding RNA, 857 nt
Organism: Peromyscus leucopus (white-footed mouse)
Lineage: Eukaryota; Metazoa; Chordata; Mammalia; Rodentia; Cricetidae
Exons: 2
Source: RefSeq, a predicted model, not a curated record
GAACAGAGCCAUCCAGCAUGAGUCAUUCAUGUUUCAUGGACUUAGAAUUCCUGGCUUCUGCUUGCCUCGGCCUUUCCCAUGGCCACGGGACAGCACGCAGGGCCUGUCUGCAGAGCUCCUACCAGGGUUCCAGUGCCACCGUGAGAUGCAAAGACACAGUCACUGAAUCCACACCUUCACUCUGUGGGGCACUCAGAUGCAGCAGAUGAAGCUGAAGAAGAUCAAGGGGGAACGAACAAGCGAGCAACCGCAGAGUUGUGUGUGGAGCCAGGGAUCCGACUCGAGCCUGCCUUCCAUGUCUUUGCUGGGUGACCUCAGGCCGCCAUGAAGCCUUGCUGCUUCUCUGCUUCCUGGUGGGCGAAGGAGUCUUCUGGAAGACUUCCCUCUCACCAGAAACCAGCAUAGGCCUAGUUUAGGAUUUAGCAAAGCCAUAACACAGUCUACUAGCCAAGGUCAAGGGACUCCCAUGGGAAACAGCCCAGCAUCAGGCUCUGGCAAACUGGCCACUUCUCUGUAUUCCUCGAGUCAUGGGACAGAAACAGAAGCUUGUGCAGGGGAGCAGGCACCCUCCCACCCACUGAGCCACAUCCCCAGCCCGUUCCCUACAGCUGAGACAGUCUCCUGUGGCCCUGGCUAGCAUUAGUAGCUGAGGAUGACCUUGAACUCCUGAUCCUCCUGCUUCUACCUUGCAAGUGCUGGGGUUACAGAUGCUCAUCACCCUGACUGUUACCCAGGUGGCAUUGAAUUCCUGGUCUCAACAGACUUCCUUCCUCUACCUGCUGAGUAACUGGGAUUAUAGGCAGGUACUUCCAUGCCUGGCCUGACUGAGGCCUAUUAAAAAAAUCAUUUUUUAUGGU